GAASGSRUAAAGAGCUUGCUCUUAUGAAGUUAGCGGCGGACGGGUGAGUAACACGUGGGUAACCUGCCCAUAAGACUGGGAUAACUCCGGGAAACCGGGGCUAAUACCGGAUAACAUUUUGCRCYGCAUGGYGCGAAAUUGAAAGGCGGCUUCGGCUGUCACUUAUGGAUGGACCCGCGUCGCAUUAGCUAGUUGGUGAGGUAACGGCUCACCAAGGCAACGAUGCGUAGCCGACCUGAGAGGGUGAUCGGCCACACUGGGACUGAGACACGGCCCAGACUCCUACGGGAGGCAGCAGUAGGGAAUCUUCCGCAAUGGACGAAAGUCUGACGGAGCAACGCCGCGUGAGUGAUGAAGGCUUUCGGGUCGUAAAACUCUGUUGUUAGGGAAGAACAAGUGCUAGUUGAAUAAGCUGGCACCUUGACGGUACCUAACCAGAAAGCCACGGCUAACUMYGUGCCAGCAGCCGCAAA
RNAcentral lists this ribosomal RNA (473 nucleotides) under Bacillus mycoides. RNAcentral's name for it is "bacterial SSU rRNA". The record is from RNAcentral. Lineage: Bacteria; Bacillati; Bacillota; Bacilli; Caryophanales; Bacillaceae.